AACCAUUUUUGGUGAUUAUCUAUCAUGCGCUGCAAUUUUUCUACUUCCUUCUCAGUUUUGCAAUCUCUGUGUGCAUCUCGUAGCACCUUACCAAGGUCAUCAUAGGGCCAUCUUCUGCAAACUCAUCUUCAUCAGCCUCGCCCAUUGUAGUAUCUGCAAAAGCUUGGCCUACAGCCCAAUCCGGAAUGUUGUCAUCAUCCUCCUCCUCUUUGAUGUCUU
This 219-nucleotide long non-coding RNA is filed under the name Setaria italica (foxtail millet). RNAcentral's name for it is "long non-coding RNA (SITA_LNC005011)". The record is from RNAcentral. Lineage: Eukaryota; Viridiplantae; Streptophyta; Magnoliopsida; Poales; Poaceae.